Molecule: ribosomal RNA, 253 nt
Filed under: uncultured bacterium
Lineage: Bacteria
Description: partial 16S ribosomal RNA
Rfam family: Bacterial small subunit ribosomal RNA
Source: RNAcentral
UACGUAGGUGGCGAGCGUUGUCCGGAUUUACUGGGCGUAAAGAGCGCGCAGGCGGUCGAUCAAGUCGGAUGUGAAAGCCCCCGGCUCAACUGGGGAGGGUCAUUCGAUACUGGUCGACUCGAAGGCAGGUGAGGGAAGCGGAAUUCCCGGUGUAGUGGUGAAAUGCGUAGAUAUCGGGAGGAACACCAGUGGCGAAGGCGGCUUCCUGGCCUGUUCUUGACGCUGAGGCGCGAAAGCUAGGGGAGCAAACGGG